Molecule: ribosomal RNA, 253 nt
Filed under: uncultured bacterium
Lineage: Bacteria
Description: partial 16S ribosomal RNA
Rfam family: Bacterial small subunit ribosomal RNA
Source: RNAcentral
UACGUAGGGUGCAGGCGUUAAUCGGAAUUACUGGGCGUAAAGCGUGCGCAGGCGGUUUGCUAAGACAGGUGUGAAAUCCCCGGGCUUAACCUGGGAAUUGCGCUUGUAACUGGCAAGCUAGAGUGUGGCAGAGGGGGGUGGAAUUCCACGUGUAGCAGUGAAAUGCGUAGAUAUGUGGAGGAACACCGAUGGCGAAGGCAGCCCCCUGGGUUAACACUGACGCUCAGGCACGAAAGCGUGGGGAGCAAACAGG